Molecule: unclassified non-coding RNA, 102 nt
Organism: Mandrillus leucophaeus (drill)
Lineage: Eukaryota; Metazoa; Chordata; Mammalia; Primates; Cercopithecidae
Rfam family: Y RNA
About the family: Y RNAs are components of the Ro ribonucleoprotein particle (Ro RNP), in association with Ro60 and La proteins. The Y RNAs and Ro60 and La proteins are well conserved, but the function of the Ro RNP is not known.
Source: Ensembl
AUCAGGCUCCAGUGCAGUGGUGUUUACAACUAAUUAAUCACAACCAGUUACAGAUUUAUUUGACCUCUUUCCGCUCUGACUGCUUCAUUUGACUAGAUUUGA